ACUCAUGGCUGCACACACUGCAGUUUGGUCUCUGCAAUGUCACAGGUGUAGUCUUCAGACUUGCUUUUAUGUAGCAAACCUAAUAUGUGAAAGUAACUAGAAAGCUGUUUUCUCCCUUCUGCUUAAAGAGAUGAUCUUAGUACACUAUGAAGCAAUCACUUUUUAAACAAUCCAACACAGAAAUAGUCCGUUACACAUUUUAAUUAGACAUAACUUCUCUUUGAAAGAACACACAGAUCAUUUGGUGAAGUUUUUCCGUUGAAACACCCCAUAAUUGGUGCAAGGUUUGCAGAACAAUUUUGUCCUUAUGAAAUCAACACCUGCCAGUUCACACAUACACACACAUAUGCACGCAUAUGAAAUAUAUAUGCAAAUUAUAUAUCCUUAUGGAUGAAUAAAAGGAAGCUAGGCUGACAGCACACUGGACAUUAGAAACAGGAUGAGGAUUAACAAUUUGCCUCGAAAAUCAUUCACCUACAAAGCAGCUGACUGUGUUUUCUUCAUUUAAAGACAAACGUGGAGUGGUUCACACAGGGACACCCAGCAGACCGGAUUGCCGCAGGAAUGGAGCCUGCACCGCUCUUUAGGCAAGGGUCUUGAUGCAUCAGGAAGUACAAACAACAACAGGAAGAGUUUUGUCCAGAUUUACCGAAAAAAUGACUUUUUAGGGGCCGGGUGCCGUGGCCCACACCUGUAAUCCCAGUGCUGUGGGAGGCCGAGGUGGGGGCGGUGGAUCACCUGAGGUCAGCAGUUCGA
Molecule: long non-coding RNA, 756 nt
Filed under: Homo sapiens (human)
Lineage: Eukaryota; Metazoa; Chordata; Mammalia; Primates; Hominidae
Description: HSALNT0082939
Source: RNAcentral